GGAGUUUUGACAGCGAUUUUGUUUCACCAGCUACUGCAGCCAGAUACCUUAUAAGCAGAGGAAUAGUAGUAGUAGUAGUAGUAGUAAUAAUAAUAAUAAUAACAACAAUAAUAAUAACAAUAAUAAUAAUAAUAAUGAUGAUGAUGAUGAUGAUAAUAUUCAAGCUAAAGGUUGUGAAUUGAAAAACAUAUCACAGCUAUGAAUGAGUGGUCAGUUCAGGCACAAAGCCUCCUCCAAGCCUGGUCUUGGUGACUAAGCUGCCAUUCCUGGUGGCUGCCAGAAGUGAUUUCAAGAUGCUGGACCCGGCAAGUCCCCUCUUACAGAACCAGAGGUCUCACAGCUAAAACGUGAAGGCAGCAUUUUUGUAUAUGGCCAAAACCAAGAGUGGUUUUAGGAGCAAAUGCAAAGAAUGGAGGAAAACGAUCGGCUCAGGACGUCGUCUGAGGAGGAAGACCAGCCAGAGACCCCCACUGGCUCCCCUUGGUCUUGGAUUCCGUUGAUGAAAGAUCCCGGUUGGAUUCGAAACGUCUGGACUCGCAAUCUAAAUAUUUCUCAUAACGUAGUACAGAAAUAUAUGAAGAAGAGGAGGAGGAAGAAUUUUGUAAUGUGGACAUGCUACAUUUAAAAUGUGCUACAGAGAAGGGAGAUCGUGGGAAAUUAGCAAACCACCAAUGAUAAAAAUAUCCCAAAGAUGUUGCAGAUAAAAGAUGUAUUUGCACUAAGUGGUGCCUACGUCUGUACAGACAAGUUAGCAGCAUGAAACAGAAAGUGAGAAAACCCUGUCAAACCGAAUCUGCCACAGGAAGCAGAAUUACACAGGAUAAAUUACAUCUGACCUGGACAAGGAAGAUGAGCAAUGAGCAUGAUCCCAACCCCAUGCAAGCAACAUGCCAAACACGCAGGGUGAACGGGCUGGGCUGUCACCCAGGGCUGCCGGGGAGGGGCAUCUGAUAUCACCGGGAUGACUGCACAGGGAGGCUUUUUUGUUUGUGUCCAAAUUGCAGUGUGGGGGUGGGCAUGGGGAAAAACAGGGCGCCUGGAGAGUUCAGAUCAGAAGCAGACAUGUACCUUGACAUGACUCUGAGCUACCUGUGGGUAUGACUUUGUUUUUUAUUCUAUUAAAUAGAAUUGUUUUCUGUA
Chroicocephalus ridibundus (black-headed gull) is the source of this 1140-nucleotide long non-coding RNA. RefSeq lists it as uncharacterized. The record is from RefSeq and is a predicted model, not a curated record. Lineage: Eukaryota; Metazoa; Chordata; Aves; Charadriiformes; Laridae. The transcript has 4 exons.